Molecule: long non-coding RNA, 1319 nt
Organism: Chinchilla lanigera (long-tailed chinchilla)
Lineage: Eukaryota; Metazoa; Chordata; Mammalia; Rodentia; Chinchillidae
Exons: 3
Source: RefSeq, a predicted model, not a curated record
GAGGCGGGGUCUGCACCUGCGGUGCGGCCCGCUGUCCUAACCCCGGGGGGCUCUCCGGUGCGCGUCAGCCCGCCGCGGUUUGAACUUAAGGGGCGUCUCCUCUGGAGAGUGCGCUGGGUGGGUCAGCAGCGGUGAGUCGUUACCGAACAGCCUCACGACCAAAGUUAACAUUGUCUCUUGGGCUGUGUUUGGGUUUUGGCGUUUGCCUCUUCGCACGCUAUGCCACCUACCUACAUACAAGGGAAAUUGGAAGGAUUUAGAGGCCUUAAUUACUUCAGUUCCUGCGUUCGGAUACAAUCCGAAUACUUGGCACACUGCUUAUGAGCGUUUUGGAAGACACUGCAAGGCUAAAGUCUUUGACAAACACGUUUGACGCACAUCUAGAAAACGUUGCUUUUCAACUGUGCACAGCUGUGUUCACUUUGAACGAACUAAAACCUAUCUUCUGUCUCCCUGAGCGUGAAGUGCCAAGGAACAAGUAUACACGUCUCCAAGCCUCCCUGCAGAGCCUGUUUCAAAAAUAACCUCCUGCUCCAGUUUCAAUGUGUCUCCAUAUACUGGAAACUUAAUCCCCAGUGCAACAGUACUGAGAAGUAAGACCUGCCAAGACAGCAUUGAAGGAAAGAGAUUUGAAUUCAAAUCCUGGCUCAACUCUCCCAAGCUGCUGGCCCCAGGUCCCGAGACUGUGGAGGAGUGACAGUAGGAUACAGGACAAUCGAGGGGAUGCUGGAAGCCCUCUGGGACCCGUGCCUUCCUGUGAGGUGCUGAAGUCAUUGCUGUAGCUGGAAGUGUCCUUAGUUAUAAACUGUUCUUGAAAUUUUGUAUUCCCUGAAUCAUACAAUAUUAUCUCUUAAAAAAGGAUCUUAUGAGCCUGGCAUUAUCGAGAGCCAUUCUACAUAACUUUGGGGGGGAAAUCAUUUCAUAAUUAAAUUGUGGUGAAGGUUUGUCUGGGGCCUAGUAUCUCGCUGUGUGAGCCGCUGCGGUAUGAGGAAACAUAACUCCCUGUGAGUCCACUCACAGUUGAGGGUUCAGCAGUCGCAUGAUGCUGUGACCUCUGGGGCAAGAUUACAUCAGCUGAAAACAUCCUGGUUCCUUCAAAACCGAGUAGAAAUUUUUUUAAAAAAAGUUUUGCCUGGGGGGAGGGGCAAACUCCUUAUUAAUCUGCUAGCUCUUCCCACCUGCUAUUGUAGAAACACUUUGCACAUCCCACUGUCUUCACCAACAUAAGCCCCUCAUCACUAUUAGAUCCCCACUACCCUCCACGUCACCUGAAAUGAUCCUCAUCGCACAAGACCUUCAUCAGUGCAAGAUCACUGCCA